Aquila chrysaetos chrysaetos is the source of this 553-nucleotide RNA transcript. It is a transcript of the gene named NADH:ubiquinone oxidoreductase subunit B2, with no coding region annotated. NCBI's taxonomy places the organism in Eukaryota, Metazoa, Chordata, Aves, Accipitriformes, Accipitridae. The transcript has 5 exons. The record is from RefSeq and is a predicted model, not a curated record.
UCGCCGCGGCUGUUGUUGGGAGGUGGCGGGGGUGACAUUGGGGGGGGGCGGCGGCGGAGGAGCUGCCAUCAUGCUGGCGUCGUUGGGGCGGUCGGCGGGGCGGCUGCUGCGGGCCGGGAGCGGCGCGACCGGGCUGCGGCACGCGGGCGACGGGGUGCACAUCCAGCCGCGGUACCGGCAGUUCCCGGAGCUGACGCGGGCGCAGGUGAUCCGGAGCGAGCUCCUCAGCGGCUUCAUGUGGUUCUGGAUCUUCUGGCACUUCUGGCACAACUCGGACGCGGUGCUGGGCCACUUCCCCUACCCCGACCCUUCGGCCUGGACGGACGAGGAGCUGGGGAUCCCUCCGGACGACGCGGAAUAGGCGCCGCCGGCCGCGGUACACCGACCCAGCAUUACCUAACCUUAAGGACAUGCUGUCUGUCUUUCUAGAGAGAGAGAGAGAGAGACACCUGUGCAGUUUUCCCCUUAAAAGGUCCCUGGAACUAAAGAGGCCCCUGGAACCAAAGCUUUGGCUCCUCCAUCCUUAUUUCAAUAAAAGUUAACCAUAAACAAA